CCUACGGGAGGCAGCAGUCGAGAAUCAUUCACAAUGGGGGAAACCCUGAUGGUGCGACGCCGCGUGGGGGAAUGAAGGUCUUCGGAUUGUAAACCCCUGUCAUGUGGGAGCAAAUUAAAAAGAUCGUACCACAAGAGGAAGAGACGGCUAACUCUGUGCCAGCAGCCGCGGUAAUACAGAGGUCUCAAGCGUUGUUCGGAAUCACUGGGCGUAAAGCGUGCGUAGGCUGUUUCGUAAGUCGUGUGUGAAAGGCGCGGGCUCAACCCGCGGACGGCACAUGAUACUGCGAGACUAGAGUAAGGGAGGGGGAACCGGAAUUCUCGGUGUAGCAGUGAAAUGCGUAGAUAUCGAGAGGAACACUCGUGGCGAAGGCGGGUUCCUGGACAUUAACUGACGCUGAGGCACGAAGGCCAGGGGAGCGAAAGGGAUUAGAUACCCUGGUAGUC
Molecule: ribosomal RNA, 446 nt
Filed under: uncultured bacterium
Lineage: Bacteria
Description: partial 16S ribosomal RNA
Rfam family: Bacterial small subunit ribosomal RNA
Source: RNAcentral